RNAcentral lists this ribosomal RNA (529 nucleotides) under uncultured bacterium. Its description in RNAcentral is "bacterial SSU rRNA". It matches the Rfam family "Bacterial small subunit ribosomal RNA", at positions 338 to 864 of the family's 1533-position model. The record is from RNAcentral.
CCUACGGGAGGCAGCAGUGAGGAAUAUUGGACAAUGGGCGCAAGCCUGAUCCAGCCAUGCCGCGUGCAGGAAGACGGUCCUAUGGAUUGUAAACUGCUUUUGUACGGGAAGAAACACUCCUACGUGUAGGAGCUUGACGGUACCGUAAGAAUAAGGAUCGGCUAACUCCGUGCCAGCAGCCGCGGUAAUACGGAGGAUCCAAGCGUUAUCCGGAAUCAUUGGGUUUAAAGGGUCCGUAGGCGGUUUAGCAAGUCAGUGGUGAAAGCCCAUCGCUCAACGAUGGAACGGCCAUUGAUACUGCUAGACUUGAAUUACUAGGAAGUAACUAGAAUAUGUAGUGUAGCGGUGAAAUGCUUAGAUAUUACAUGGAAUACCAAUUGCGAAGGCAGGUUACUACUAGUGGAUUGACCGNUGAUGGACGAAAGCGUAGGGGAGCGAACAGGUAUUAGACUACCCGUGGUAGUCCACGACCGUAAACGAUAGUAGUACUAGUACGUGUUCGGGUACGUACCGUACGUAGUAGGUCGUA